This 460-nucleotide ribosomal RNA is filed under the name uncultured bacterium. RNAcentral's name for it is "partial 16S ribosomal RNA". It matches the Rfam family "Bacterial small subunit ribosomal RNA", at positions 338 to 795 of the family's 1533-position model. The record is from RNAcentral.
CCUACGGGUGGCUGCAGUGAGGAAUAUUGGUCAAUGGACGCGAGUCUGAACCAGCCAAGUAGCGUGCAGGAUGACUGCCCUAUGAGUUGUAAACUUCUUUUGUACGGGGAUAAAGUGCGGCACGUGUGCCUUUUUGUAUGUAUUUUAUGAAUAAGGAUCGGCUAACUCCGUGCCAGCAGCCGCGGUAAUACGGAGGAUCCGAGCGUUAUCCGGAUUUAUUGGGUUUAAAGGGAGCGUAGAUGGGUUGUUAAGUCAGUUGUGACAGUUUGCGGCUCAACCGUAAAAUUGCAAUUGAUACUGGCAGUCUUGAGUACAGUUGAGGUAGGCGGAAUUCGUGGUGUAGCGGUGAAAUGCUUAGAUAUCACGAAGAACUCCGAUUGCGAAGGCAGCUUACUAAACUGCCACUGACAUUGAUGCUCGAAAGUGUGGGUAUCAAACAGGAUUAGAUACCCUAGUAGUC